Molecule: ribosomal RNA, 624 nt
Filed under: uncultured bacterium
Lineage: Bacteria
Description: bacterial SSU rRNA
Rfam family: Bacterial small subunit ribosomal RNA
Source: RNAcentral
AUUGAACGCUGGCGGCAGGCUUAACACAUGCAAGUCGAGCGGGGAAGGGUAGCUUGCUACCUGACCUAGCGGCGGACGGGUGAGUAAUGCUUAGGAAUCUGCCUAUUAGUGGGGGACAACAUUCCGAAAGGAAUGCUAAUACCGCAUACGCCCUACGGGGGAAAGCAGGGGAUCUUCGGACCUUGCGCUAAUAGAUGAGCCUAAGUCAGAUUAGCUAGUUGGUGGGGUAAAGGCCUACCAAGGCGACGAUCUGUAGCGGGUCUGAGAGGAUGAUCCGCCACAUUGGGACUGAGACACGGCCCAGACUCCUACGGGAGGCAGCAGUGGGGAAUAUUGGACAAUGGGCGAAAGCCUGAUCCAGCCAUGCCGCGUGUGUGAAGAAGGCCUUUUGGUUGUAAAGCACUUUAAGCGAGGAGGAGGCUGCCGAGAUUAAUACUCUUGGAUAGUGGACGUUACUCGCAGAAUAAGCACCGGCUAACUCUGUGCCAGCAGCCGCGGUAAUACAGAGGGUGCGAGCGUUAAUCGGAUUUACUGGGCGUAAAGCGUGCGUAGGCGGCUUUUUAAGUCGGAUGUGAAAUCCCUGAGCUUAACUUANGAAUUGCAUUCGAUACUGGGAAGCUAGAG